UCUUCUUUUUGAGCGGCAAUUUGUUUACAAGCGGCUUCUCAAACACGCAUUAUUCAAAAACCCUAAUUAUCAUCUUCUUCAAUUCUCUCAAUUGAAAUCAAUCUCCAAUUUAUCAUCUCUUCAUCAUUCAUCAGUUGAAAUCAUUCUCCACCGCCUCAUGCUCCAGCCGUUUCUCUCCUCCAAAGCCUAAUCCCAAAUUUGUUAUCCUCCAUUGAUCGUCGCCUCCUCCAAACCCUAAUUCCAAAUUUGUUAUCCUCCAUUGAUCGUGGCCUCCAGUUACAGGUUUCUGGUAUGUGGUCCCGGAAGAAGAAAUCUCAAUCUAUCAUCUUCUCAACUCUGAGCACCACUUCAGUUUGUUCAAAACAAAGUUUGAAUAACGCCCCGAUUCUUCCGACUGGUUAUAUGUAUUUGUAUUAAAAAUCAGGGUUCGUGUGGAUCGUGCUGGUCCUUUAGUACAACCGGGAGCUUUUGAAGAAUCUCACUUCCUUCAAACAGGGGAGUUGGUCUGGCGAUUCAUUGCUAAUGGUGAUCUACUAAUGGUAUCUCAUAGGGCAAAUGAUGUGUGCUGCUAGUAACACGUAAGCUUAGGUUCUUUGCUUCAACUGGAGGCUGCUCCUGAAUAGGAUUCCUGUCAGUCCUAAUUUAAGCAGGAGGGGUGAGGCGGUAGGAUCGAUGUUAUGUCAAUUCUGCAGGCGUGAAAAGGAAAUGACAGACCAUAUAUUCUCCAACUGCUAUCUUACCGCUGAGGUAUGGAGAAGGGUGUCGUGGUGGAGCGGCUUCCCCUUCUACGCGGCUACCAAUGUGGCUGGACUGUUUAAUAUUGCAGCUUCAGUGUCGGGUUCUAAGGCGAGGCGUCGUGGGGCAUUACGGUGUUGUAUACGACUAUUUGGUUUGUGUGGAAGGCUCGGAAUAACUUGGUUUUUAAUAGGCGUCAAACUACUGUAGAAACUCUGAUGGAAGAUAUUAUCACUUUUUAAUGGGUGGUUAACAGGUCCAAAAAUAGGUCUCUAUCUUGGCACACUUGGAGAUGUUCUGCUGUGGCUUGCUUUUAGUAUGCAUGGUUAUUGUUGUUACUUUUAGUUUGUUGAUGGCCUGUGGCCGUUUUUCUCUGUUUGUACUUGGUUCUCUUGGCUUCGCGCUGUGGUGUGUUAAUGAGCAGUGCCUUUUUCUAAAAGUUAUUGCAUUUCUUAUGAAUUUCUCACUUAUUAUAUUGUGGCUAUUAUGGUUUAUGUAGAUUCACGCAAAGACACGGUAAUAGAGGACAGCUACAUUAGUGUGGGCGAUGAUGUCAUUGCAAUAAAAGGUGGUUGGGAUCAGUAUGGUGCUGUUUAUGGUCGACCUUCAAAAAAUAUUCUUAUCUGAAAUCUUAUGGUUCUUUCGAUGGUGAGGUGAGAUUUCCAUGCUAGGUUUUUCUAUCAUUUAUAGUUUUAUGACUUUAUCUUUUAUUUAUGUGGAGUCGUGUUCAAUAUUUAAACGGUUUUAAGUAGACUUUAUCUUUUAUUUCUGUCAAACAAGCUACUAUUUUAAUAUUCCUGAUCUUUACUUGAACUAUGUAUCCAUUUGAGAAAGAUUCCCUCAAAUUUCAUAUAUAGUGUAAAGUUGAGAAAAAUGUAGAAUAUCUGACUAUAGACUAUUAGCCAAAUGUCUUAAAUACCCUUAUAUAGUUACAAAUUAUUAAUUAUACUUGACAAUGAGAAUGAAAUAAUAAGAUGAGUGGUAAAUUUGUGGACCUAUUCGUACAAGUUUCUUGCUCUCUACCUCUAGCCCAUCUCAUAAAUGAGAAGAUAUCUCUCUCUCUCUCUCUCUCUCUCUCUCUCUCUCUCUCUCUCUGUUCAUGGUGUUGGACUUUUUAGCACCGAUUGGGAGAAGCUCUCUUACAACAAAGGGAUUAAUAGAUUUCGUAAGCCCUAAGAAGAAGGUUUGAUAUGUGAGAUACUAUAAAGUGAUGUACCGUGAUGGAAAUGUGCAGCAGCAACAACAAAUUAUAUUUAGAUGGAAUAAUCGGGCGUUAUCAAAAGUAAAUCUAUUUUUGUGGCGGGCAAUUGCUUUGAAAUUUCUAACUUUGGAUGCAUUGGCUACGCGGGGUUUGGUAAUCAUUAAUGAUCUAUGUUCGUUAUGUUGAUGUGCGUAAGAGUCAGCAAAACACAUGUUAUUUUCUCACUCGGUUCACGCCUUGGCUCUGGCCAAGGCACACUUCGUGACAGGAGCGCUGAUCCAAUGAAGCUCACGCUAUGCAUGAGAAGUUGCAGUCUCACCCAAAUGUAGGCGUGAGCAAGAAAAUAUAUAAAUUUGUGUUCAGCUUCAAGGGAAUGAAUGUCUUUAAAGUUUUUUUUUUUAUUAUUAUAAGUUUAUUACAAAUUCAGCUAAAUGAUGUUUACAAAUGUCUCCUUAAAUUGGAAUGGGAUGGCAACUUAUUGCAUAUUAGGCAACUUAUAUGUAUAUUUUAGCAUAUAUAAAUCUAAUUUUAAGUUGAUACACCAUGAGUUUUCAUA
Helianthus annuus (common sunflower) is the source of this 2492-nucleotide long non-coding RNA. RefSeq lists it as uncharacterized. The record is from RefSeq and is a predicted model, not a curated record. NCBI's taxonomy places the organism in Eukaryota, Viridiplantae, Streptophyta, Magnoliopsida, Asterales, Asteraceae. The transcript has 6 exons.